GAUGAAGAACGUAGCGAAAUGCGAUAAGUAAUGUGAAUUGCAGAAUUCCGUGAAUCAUCGAAUCUUUGAACGCACAUUGCGCCCCCUGGUAUUCCGGGGGGCAUGCCUGUCCGAGCGUCAUUGCAACCCUCAAGCGCGGCUUGUGUGAUGGGCCUCGUCCCUCGUGGACGGGCCCGAAAGGCAGUGGCGGCAUCCGACAUGGUGCCCGAGCGUAUGGGAACUCUCUUCCGCUCGAACAGGCUCAUGCGGCGCCGGUCGUAACCAAAUUUUUUACCGGUUGACCUCGGAUCAGGUAGGGAUACCCGCUGAACUUAAGCAUAUCAAUAAGCGGAGGA
This 335-nucleotide unclassified non-coding RNA is filed under the name soil metagenome. RNAcentral's name for it is "partial contains 5.8S ribosomal RNA, internal transcribed spacer 2, and large subunit ribosomal RNA". The stretch from base 1 to 120 matches the Rfam family "5.8S ribosomal RNA", at positions 35 to 154 of the family's 154-position model. The record is from RNAcentral.